UCGAGGGCGAGAGGAGGUGGCCUCGAGUAGGGGUCAGCGAGCGGUGACGUCGAGGGCGAGCGACGAUGGCGUCGAGGGCGAUCGGCGAGCCAGAGGUCAGCGGUGGUGACCGGUGCCGUCGAGGGCGAGAGGAGGUGGCCUCGAGCAGGGGUCAGCGAGCGGUGGCGUCGAGGGCAAACGGUGAGUCAGGGCCCAGGGGUCAGCCGCGGUGCUGUCGAGGGCGAGCGGAGGUGGCCUCGACCCUCGAGCAGAGAUCAACGGUGGUGGCGUCGAGGGC
RNAcentral lists this long non-coding RNA (277 nucleotides) under Eucalyptus grandis. Its description in RNAcentral is "long non-coding RNA (EGRA_LNC003498)". The record is from RNAcentral. Lineage: Eukaryota; Viridiplantae; Streptophyta; Magnoliopsida; Myrtales; Myrtaceae.